RNAcentral lists this ribosomal RNA (468 nucleotides) under uncultured bacterium. RNAcentral's name for it is "partial 16S ribosomal RNA". It matches the Rfam family "Bacterial small subunit ribosomal RNA", at positions 28 to 507 of the family's 1533-position model. The record is from RNAcentral.
GACGAACGCUGGCGGCGUGCUUAACACAUGCAAGUCGAACGGAAAGGCCCUGCUUUUGUGGGGUGCUCGAGUGGCGAGCGGGUGAGUAACACGUGAGUAACCUGCCCUUGACUUUGGAAUAACUUCAGGAAACUGGGGCUAAUACCGGAUAGGAGCUCCUGCUGCAUGGUGGGGGUUGGAAAGUUUCGGCGGUUGGGGAUGGACUCGCGGCUUAUCAGCUUGUUGGUGGGGUAGUGGCUUACCAAGGCUUUGACGGGUAGCCGGCCUGAGAGGGUGACCGGCCACAUUGGGACUGAGAUACGGCCCAGACUCCUACGGGAGGCAGCAGUGGGGAAUAUUGCACAAUGGGCGGAAGCCUGAUGCAGCAACGCCGCGUGCGGGAUGACGGCCUUCGGGUUGUAAACCGCUUUCGCCUGUGACGAAGCGUGAGUGACGGUAAUGGGUAAAGAAGCACCGGCUAACUACGUG